CAGUCGAACGAAGCGAUUUAGCGGAAGUUUUCGGAUGGAAGCUAGAUUGACUGACUUGCGGACGGGUGAGUAACGCGUGGGUAACCUGCCUCACACUGGGGGACAACAGUUAGAAAUGACUGCUAAUACCGCAUAAGCGCACAGGACCGCAUGGUCCGGUGUGAAAAACUCCGGUGGUGUGAGAUGGACCCGCGUUUGAUUAGCUAGUUGGUGGGGUAACGGCCUACCAAGGCGACGAUCAAUAGCCGACCUGAGAGGGUGACCGGCCACAUUGGGACUGAGACACGGCCCAAACUCCUACGGGAGGCAGCAGUGGGGAAUAUUGCACAAUGGGGGAAACCCUGAUGCAGCGACGCCGCGUGAGUGAAGAAGUAUUUCGGUAUGUAAAGCUCUAUCAGCAGGGAAGAAAAUGACGGUACCUGACUAAGAAGCCCCGGCUAACUACGUGCCAGCAGCCGCGGUAAUACGUAGGGGGCAAGCGUUAUCCGGAUUUACUGGGUGUAAAGGGAGCGUAGACGGUAAAGCAAGUCUGAAGUGAAAGCCCGGGGCUCAACCCCGGGACUGCUUUGGAAACUGUUUAACUAGAGUGCUGGAGAGGUAAGCGGAAUUCCUAGUGUAGCGGUGAAAUGCGUAGAUAUUAGGAGGAACACCAGUGGCGAAGGCGGCUUACUGGACAGUAACUGACGUUGAGGCUCGAAAGCGUGGGGAGCAAACAGGAUUAGAUACCCUGGUAGUCCACGCCGUANACGAUGACUACUAGGUGUCGGGCANCAAAGCUGUUCGGUGCCGCAGCAAACGCAAUAAGUAGUCCACCUGGGGAGUACGUUCG
RNAcentral lists this ribosomal RNA (829 nucleotides) under uncultured bacterium. RNAcentral describes it as "bacterial SSU rRNA". It matches the Rfam family "Bacterial small subunit ribosomal RNA", at positions 59 to 888 of the family's 1533-position model. The record is from RNAcentral.